RNAcentral lists this ribosomal RNA (369 nucleotides) under uncultured organism. RNAcentral describes it as "bacterial SSU rRNA". It matches the Rfam family "Bacterial small subunit ribosomal RNA", at positions 526 to 896 of the family's 1533-position model. The record is from RNAcentral.
CGAAUGGGGCAAGCGUUGUUCGGAAUCACUGGGCUUAAAGCGUGCGUAGGCGGACCUCCAAGUCAGGAGUGAAAUCCCAGGGCUUAACCCUGGAAUUGCUCUUGAAACUGGUGGUCUUGAAUCCUGGAGGGGUUGGGAGAAUUCCUAGUGUAGAGGUGAAAUUCGCAGAUAUUAGGAGGAAUACCAGUGGCGUAGGCGCCCAACUGGACAGGUAUUGACGCUGAGGUACGAAAGCGUGGGUAGCAAACAGGAUUAGAUACCCUGGUAGUCCACGCUGUAAACGAUGUGUGCUAGUUGUCGGAACUUCAAGUUUCGGUGACGCAGAGAAAUCAUUAAGCACACCGCCUGGGGAGUACGGUCGCAAGAUUA